This 223-nucleotide ribosomal RNA is filed under the name uncultured bacterium. Its description in RNAcentral is "partial 16S ribosomal RNA". It matches the Rfam family "Bacterial small subunit ribosomal RNA", at positions 116 to 334 of the family's 1533-position model. The record is from RNAcentral.
CGUAGGUAACCUGCCUGGUAGCGGGGGAUAACUAUUGGAAACGAUAGCUAAUACCGCAUAACAGUCGACAUUGCAUGAUGUUGAUUUGAAAGGGGCAAUUGCUCCACUACCAGAUGGACCUGCGUUGUAUUAGCUAGUUGGUGAGGUAACGGCUCACCAAGGCGACGAUACAUAGCCGACCUGAGAGGGUGAUCGGCCACACUGGGACUGAGACGCGGCCCAG